Molecule: ribosomal RNA, 253 nt
Filed under: uncultured bacterium
Lineage: Bacteria
Description: partial 16S ribosomal RNA
Rfam family: Bacterial small subunit ribosomal RNA
Source: RNAcentral
UACAGAGACUGCAAGCGUUAUUCGGAUUCACUGGGCGUAAAGGGUGCGCAGGCGGCUAAGUGUGUCAGGUGUGAAAUCCCGAGGCUCAACCUCGGAACUGCGCCUGAAACUACUUGGCUAGAGUAUUGGAGAGGGUAACGGAAUUCACGGUGUAGCAGUGAAAUGCGUAGAUAUCGUGAGGAACACCAGAGGCGAAGGCGGUUACCUGGACAAUUACUGACGCUCAGGCACGAAAGCGUGGGGAGCAAAAGGG